Molecule: ribosomal RNA, 253 nt
Filed under: uncultured bacterium
Lineage: Bacteria
Description: partial 16S ribosomal RNA
Rfam family: Bacterial small subunit ribosomal RNA
Source: RNAcentral
AACGUAGGAGGCAAGCGUUAUCCGGAGUUACUGGGCGUAAAGCGUGCGUAGGCGGGGUGGUAAGUGGGUGGUGAAAGCGCUCGGCUAAACCGGGCGAGUGCCAUCCAGACUGCCAGUCUAGAGGCGGAUAGAGGGGUGCGGAAUUCCGGGUGUAGCGGUGAAAUGUGUAGAGAUCCGGAGGAACACCAGUGGUGCAAACGGCGCCCUGGGUCCGAACUGACGCUGAUGCACGAAAGCGUGGGGAGCGAACGGG